AAAGUCAUGGUUAAGUGGGAAACGAUGUGGGAAGGCACAGACAGCCAGGAUGUUGGCUUAGAAGCAGCCAUCAUUUAAAGAAAGCGUAAUAGCUCACUGGUCGAGUCGGCCUGCGCGGAAGAUGUAACGGGGCUAAACCAUGCACCGAAGCUGCGGCAGCGACACUAUGUGUUGUUGGGUAGGGGAGCGUUCUGUAAGCCUGCGAAGGUGACCUGUGAGGGUUGCUGGAGGUAUCAGAAGUGCGAAUGCUGACAUAAGUAACGAUAAAGCGGGUGAAAAGCCCGCUCGCCGGAAGACCAAGGGUUCCUGUCCAACGUUAAUCGGGGCAGGGUGAGUCGACCCCUAAGGCGAGGCCGAAAGGCGUAGUCGAUGGGAAACAGGUUAAUAUUCCUGUACUUGGUGUUACUGCGAAGGGGGGACGGAGAAGGCUAUGUUAGCCGGGCGACGGUUGUCCCGGUUUAAGCAUGUAGGCUGGUUAUCCAGGCAAAUCCGGAUAAUCAAGGCUGAGGUGUGAUGACGAGGCACUACGGUGCUGAAGUAACAAAUGCCCUGCUUCCAGGAAAAGCCUCUAAGCAUCAGGUAACAUCAAAUCGUACCCCAAACCGACACAGGUGGUCAGGUAGAGAAUACCAAGGCGCUUGAGAGAACUCGGGUGAAGGAACUAGGCAAAAUGGUGCCGUAACUUCGGGAGAAGGCACGCUGGUGUGUAGGUGAAGUCCCUGCGGAUGGAGCUGAGACCAGUCGAAGAUACCAGCUGGCUGCAACUGUUUAUUAAAAACACAGCACUGUGCAAACACGAAAGUGGACGUAUACGGUGUGAC
RNAcentral lists this ribosomal RNA (821 nucleotides) under Klebsiella pneumoniae. Its description in RNAcentral is "bacterial LSU rRNA". It matches the Rfam family "Bacterial large subunit ribosomal RNA", at positions 1049 to 1856 of the family's 2925-position model. The record is from RNAcentral. Lineage: Bacteria; Pseudomonadati; Pseudomonadota; Gammaproteobacteria; Enterobacterales; Enterobacteriaceae.